GAUGAACGCUGGCGGCGUGCCUAAUACAUGCAAGUCGAGCGAACAGACGAGGAGCUUGCUCCUCUGACGUUAGCGGCGGACGGGUGAGUAACACGUGGAUAACCUACCUAUAAGACUGGGAUAACUUCGGGAAACCGGAGCUAAUACCGGAUAAUAUAUUGAACCGCAUGGUUCAAUAGUGAAAGACGGUUUUGCUGUCACUUAUAGAUGGAUCCGCGCCGCAUUAGCUAGUUGGUAAGGUAACGGCUUACCAAGGCAACGAUGCGUAGCCGACCUGAGAGGGUGAUCGGCCACACUGGAACUGAGACACGGUCCAGACUCCUACGGGAGGCAGCAGUAGGGAAUCUGCCGCAAUGGGCGAAAGCCUGACGGAGCAACGCCGCGUGAGUGAUGAAGGUCUUCGGAUCGUAAAACUCUGUUAUUAGGGAAGAACAAAUGUGUAAGUAACUAUGCACGUCUUGACGGUAACUAAUCAGAAAGCCACGGCUAACUACGUG
Molecule: ribosomal RNA, 497 nt
Filed under: uncultured bacterium
Lineage: Bacteria
Description: partial 16S ribosomal RNA
Rfam family: Bacterial small subunit ribosomal RNA
Source: RNAcentral